UACGGAGGGUGCGAGCGUUGUCCGGAAUCAUUGGGCGUAAAGGGCGCGUAGGUGGCCCCUCAAGCGUGCGGUGAAAGUCAGGGGCUCAACCCCUGAUCAGCCGUGCGAACUGGGGAGCUUGAGCACUGUAGAGGCAGGCGGAGUUCCGGGUGUAGCGGUGGAAUGCGUAGAGAUCCGGAAGAACACCGGUGGCGAAGGCGGCCUGCUGGGCAGUUUUGCUGACACUGAGGCGCGACAGCGUGGGGAGCAAACAGG
Molecule: ribosomal RNA, 255 nt
Filed under: uncultured bacterium
Lineage: Bacteria
Description: partial 16S ribosomal RNA
Rfam family: Bacterial small subunit ribosomal RNA
Source: RNAcentral